CCUACGGGAGGCAGCAGUAGGGAAUUUUCGUCAAUGGGCGCAAGCCUGAACGAGCGAUGCCGCGUGAGUGAAGAAGGCCUUCGGGUCGUAAAGCUCUGUUGCGGGGGAAAAAAGGCAGCAUCAGGAAAUGGGUGCUGACUGAUGGUGCCCCGCCAGAAAGUCACGGCUAACUACGUGCCAGCAGCCGCGGUAAUACGGAGGAUCCGAGCGUUAUCCGGAUUCAUUGGGUUUAAAGGGUGCGUAGGUUGUUUUAUAAGUUAGCGGUGAAAUACCGAUGCGCAACAUCGGGGCUGCCGCUGAUACUGUAGGACUAGAGAUCGGAUGCAGCAGGCGGAAUGUGUAGUGUAGCGGUGAAAUGCAUAGAUAUUACACAGAACACCGAUUGCGAAGGCAGCUUGCUAGGCCGGAUCUGACACUGAUGCACGAAAGCGUGGGGAUCGAACAGGAUUAGAUACCCGAGUAGUC
RNAcentral lists this ribosomal RNA (465 nucleotides) under uncultured bacterium. Its description in RNAcentral is "partial 16S ribosomal RNA". It matches the Rfam family "Bacterial small subunit ribosomal RNA", at positions 338 to 795 of the family's 1533-position model. The record is from RNAcentral.